AUAUAUGCCCCCUGGUUCGGAAUAACCCCGGGAAACUGGGGCUAAUACCGGAUGGUUCCUUCGGGAUAAAGAUUUAUUGCCAAAAGAUGAGUCCGCGUACGAUUAGCUAGUUGGUGAGGUAAUGGCUCACCAAGGCGACGAUUGUUAGCUGGUUUGAGAGGACGAUCAGCCACACUGGGACUGAGACACGGCCCAGACUCCUACGGGAGGCAGCAGUGGGGAAUAUUGGACAAUGGGGGCAACCCUGAUCCAGCCAUGCCGCGUGAGUGAUGAAGGCCUUCGGGUUGUAAAGCUCUUUUGGCGGGGACGAUGAUGACGGUACCCGCAGAAUAAGCCCCGGCUAACUUCGUGCCAGCAGCCGCGGUAAGACGAAGGGGGCUAGCGUUGUUCGGAAUUACUGGGCGUAAAGCGCGUGUAGGCGGUUUUCCAAGUUGGGUGUGAAAGCCUUGGGCUUAACCCAAGAAAUGCACUCAGUACUGGAAGACUAGAGGACCGGAGAGGAUAGUGGAAUUCCCAGUGUAGUGGUGAAAUACGUAGAGAUUGGGAAGAACACCAGUGGCGAAGGCGGCUAUCUGGACGGUUC
Molecule: ribosomal RNA, 583 nt
Filed under: uncultured bacterium
Lineage: Bacteria
Description: bacterial SSU rRNA
Rfam family: Bacterial small subunit ribosomal RNA
Source: RNAcentral